Molecule: ribosomal RNA, 353 nt
Filed under: uncultured bacterium
Lineage: Bacteria
Description: bacterial SSU rRNA
Rfam family: Bacterial small subunit ribosomal RNA
Source: RNAcentral
AUGGCUGUCGUCAGCUCGUGUCGUGAGAUGUUGGGUUAAGUCCCGUAACGAGCGCAACCCCUUUUGCUAGUUACCAGCACGUAAUGGUGGGGACUCUAGCCAGACUGCCUACGCAAGUAGUGAGGAAGGUGGGGACGACGUCAAGUCAUCAUGGCCCUUACGCCCAGGGCUGCACGCAUGCUACAAUGGCCGGUACAAUGGGCUGCGAACCCGCGAGGGGGAGCUAAUCCUCAAAGCCGGCCUCAGUUCGGAUUGGAGUCUGCAACUCGACUCCAUGAAGCCGGAGUCGCUAGUAAUCGCAGAUCAGCAGUGCUGCGGUGAAUACGUUCCCGGGCCUUGUACACACCGCCCGU